GCAGCAGCCACGGGAAUACGUAGGGUGCGAGCGUUAAUCGGAAUUACUGGGCGUAAAGCGUGCGCAGGCGGUUCGUUAAGACAGAUGUGAAAUCCCCGGGCUUAACCUGGGAACUGCAUUUGUGACCGGCGAGCUAGAGUAUGGCAGAGGGGGGUAGAAUUCCACGUGUAGCAGUGAAAUGCGUAGAGAUGUGGAGGAAUACCGAUGGCGAAGGCAGCCCCCUGGGCCAAUACUGACGCUCAUGCACGAAAGCGUGGGGAGCAAAUGGGAUUAGAUACCCCGGUAGUCCCUGUCUCUUAUAC
This 302-nucleotide ribosomal RNA is filed under the name uncultured bacterium. Its description in RNAcentral is "partial 16S ribosomal RNA". It matches the Rfam family "Bacterial small subunit ribosomal RNA", at positions 508 to 807 of the family's 1533-position model. The record is from RNAcentral.